RNAcentral lists this long non-coding RNA (204 nucleotides) under Mytilus galloprovincialis (Mediterranean mussel). The record is from RNAcentral. Lineage: Eukaryota; Metazoa; Mollusca; Bivalvia; Mytilida; Mytilidae.
AAAUUAGAAAGAUCAUAUCAUAGGGAACAUGUGUACCAAGUUUGAAGUCGAUUGGACUUCAACUUCAUCAAAAACUACCUCGACCAAAAACUUUAACCUGAAGCGGGACAGACGGACGAACGAACGGACGAACGAACGGACGAACGGACGCACAGACCAGAAAACAUAAUGCCCCUCUACUAUCGUAGGUGGGGCAUAAAAAUG